RNAcentral lists this ribosomal RNA (440 nucleotides) under uncultured bacterium. RNAcentral's name for it is "partial 16S ribosomal RNA". It matches the Rfam family "Bacterial small subunit ribosomal RNA", at positions 338 to 795 of the family's 1533-position model. The record is from RNAcentral.
CCUACGGGUGGCAGCAGUGGGGAAUAUUGCACAAUGGGGGCAACCCUGAUGCAGCGAAGCCGCGUGAGUGAAGAAGUAAUUAGUUAUGUAAAGCUCUAUCAGCAGGGAAGAAAAGGACGGUACCUGAGCAAGAAGCCCCGGCUAACUACGUGCCAACAGCCGCGGUAAUACGUAGGUGGCCAGCGUUAUCCGGAUUUACUGGGUGUAAAGGGAGCGUAGACGGCAGUGCACGGCUGGAGUGAAAGGCGGGGGCUCAACCUGCGGACUGCCCUGGAAACUGUACGGCUGGAGUGCAGGAGAGGUAAGUGGAAUUCCUGGUGUAGCGGUGAAAUGCGUAGAUAUUAGGAGGAACACCAGUGGCGAAGGCGGCUUACUGGACUGUAACUGACGUUGAGGAGCGAAAGCGUGGGGAGCAAACAGGAUUAGAUACCCCUGUAGUC